RNAcentral lists this ribosomal RNA (253 nucleotides) under uncultured bacterium. Its description in RNAcentral is "partial 16S ribosomal RNA". It matches the Rfam family "Bacterial small subunit ribosomal RNA", at positions 524 to 776 of the family's 1533-position model. The record is from RNAcentral.
UACGGAGGUUGCGAGCGUUGUUCGGAAUUACUGGGCGUAAAGGGAGCGCAGGCGGUUAGGUAAGUCUGGAGUGAAAGCCCGGGGCUCAACCCCGGAGGGUCUUUGGAUACUGCCCGACUUGAGUACGUGAGAGGAGAGCGGAAUUCCAGGUGUAGCGGUGAAAUGCGUAGAUAUCUGGAGGAACACCGGUGGCGAAGGCGGCUCUCUGGCACGACACUGACGCUGAGGCUCGAAAGCAUGGGGAGCGAACGGG